This 427-nucleotide ribosomal RNA is filed under the name uncultured bacterium. Its description in RNAcentral is "partial 16S ribosomal RNA". It matches the Rfam family "Bacterial small subunit ribosomal RNA", at positions 355 to 774 of the family's 1533-position model. The record is from RNAcentral.
UAGGGAAUCUUCGGCAAUGGACGAAAGUCUGACCGAGCAACGCCGCGUGAGUGAAGAAGGCUUUCGGAUCGUAAAACUCUGUUGUUAGAGAAGAACAAGGACGUUAGUAACUGAACGUCCCCUGACGGUAUCUAACCAGAAAGCCACGGCUAACUACGUGCCAGCAGCCGCGGUAAUACGUAGGUGGCAAGCGUUGUCCGGAUUUAUUGGGCGUAAAGCGAGCGCAGGCGGUUUCUUAAGUCUGAUGUGAAAGCCCCCGGCUCAACCGGGGAGGGUCAUUGGAAACUGGGAGACUUGAGUGCAGAAGAGGAGAGUGGAAUUCCAGGUGUAGCGGUGAAAUGCGUAGAUAUAUGGAGGAACACCAGUGGCGAAGGCGGCUCUCUGGUCUGUAACUGACGCUGAGGCUCGAAAGCGUGGGGAGCAAACA